Molecule: ribosomal RNA, 429 nt
Filed under: Bacteroidota bacterium
Lineage: Bacteria; Pseudomonadati; Bacteroidota
Description: Bacteroidetes bacterium partial 16S ribosomal RNA
Rfam family: Bacterial small subunit ribosomal RNA
Source: RNAcentral
UAGGGAAUCUUCGGCAAUGGGGGGAACCCUGACCGAGCAACGCCGCGCGAGUGAAGAAGGUUUUCGGAUCGUAAAGCUCUGUUGUUAAGGAAGAACGAGUGUGAGAAUGGAAAGUUCAUACUGUGACGGUACUUAACCAGAAAGGGACGGCUAACUACGUGCCAGCAGCCGCGGUAAUACGUAGGUCCCGAGCGUUGUCCGGAUUUAUUGGGCGUAAAGCGAGCGCAGGCGGUUAGAUAAGUCUGAAGUUAAAGGCAGUGGCUCAACCAUUGUAGGCUUUGGAAACUGUUUAACUUGAGUGCAGAAGGGGAGAGUGGAAUUCCAUGUGUAGCGGUGAAAUGCGUAGAUAUAUGGAGGAACACCGGUGGCGAAAGCGGCUCUCUGGUCUGUAACUGACGCUGAGGCUCGAAAGCGUGGGGAGCGAACAGG